Molecule: small RNA, 101 nt
Filed under: Marmota monax (woodchuck)
Lineage: Eukaryota; Metazoa; Chordata; Mammalia; Rodentia; Sciuridae
Source: RNAcentral
GACAGAUGUGGUAGUGCAUACCUGUAGUCCCAGCAACUUGGGAGGCUGAGGCAGGAGGAUCACUAGUUCAGUUUCAGCAACUUGGUGAGACUCUGUCUCAA